Molecule: ribosomal RNA, 410 nt
Filed under: uncultured fungus
Lineage: Eukaryota; Fungi
Description: eukaryotic LSU rRNA
Rfam family: 5.8S ribosomal RNA (bases 1-125)
Source: RNAcentral
GCAUCGAUGAAGAACGCAGCAAACUGCGAUAAGUAAUGUGAAUUGCAGAAUUUAGUGAAUCAUCGAAUCUUUGAACGCAAAUGGCGCUCUUGGGCAUUCCCAGGAGCACGUCUGUCUGAGCGUCGUUUCUCACAUCCCACCUCGAAGAGGUGGGGCCAUGAGGUGUCCCUUUGCUGCGAAGCGAACGGUCCCUUGAAGUAGAGCGAUCCCGAGUCGCGCGGAAGCCCCUCGUGGCCCGUGCCCCUCGGUGUGGUAGAAAUAUCUCACCGAGUGGCCGAGCUUCGCAGGGUGUCGGAAGCCCUCUCUGUGGGACGACUGGAAAGGGUUCGACUUCACCGUCGUUCGACCAACCAAGACCUCAGAUCAGGCGAGACUACCCGCUGAACUUAAGCAUAUCAAUAAGCGGAGGA